CACUCACCUGCCUCCUUCCCGUCCUCUCCCCUGCCUGCCUGUCUCCUCCAGCCAAGAGAACGGGGCGAGCUGCUGCACGUGCUCCCGGCUGGAGGAGGCAGGCAGGGGAGAGGACAGGAAGGAGGCAGGCGAGCG
This 135-nucleotide microRNA precursor is filed under the name Podarcis lilfordi (Lilford's wall lizard). The record is from RNAcentral. Lineage: Eukaryota; Metazoa; Chordata; Lepidosauria; Squamata; Lacertidae.